This 484-nucleotide ribosomal RNA is filed under the name uncultured bacterium. RNAcentral's name for it is "partial 16S ribosomal RNA". It matches the Rfam family "Bacterial small subunit ribosomal RNA", at positions 30 to 507 of the family's 1533-position model. The record is from RNAcentral.
AUUGAACGCUGGCGGCAGGCCUAACACAUGCAAGUCGAGCGGAUGAAGGGAGCUUGCUCCUGGAUUCAGCGGCGGACGGGUGAGUAAUGCCUAGGAAUCUGCCUGGUAGUGGGGGAUAACGUCCGGAAACGGGCGCUAAUACCGCAUACGUCCUGAGGGAGAAAGUGGGGGAUCUUCGGACCUCACGCUAUCAGAUGAGCCUAGGUCGGAUUAGCUAGUUGGUGGGGUAAAGGCCUACCAAGGCGACGAUCCGUAACUGGUCUGAGAGGAUGAUCAGUCACACUGGAACUGAGACAGGGUCCAGACUCCUACGGGAGGCAGCAGUGGGGAAUAUUGGACAAUGGGCGAAAGCCUGAUCCAGCCAUGCCGCGUGUGUGAAGAAGGUCUUCGGAUUGUAAAGCACUUUAAGUUGGGAAGAAGGGCAGUAAGUUAAUACCUUGCUGUUUUGACGGUACCAAAAGAAUAAGCACCGGCUAACUUCGUG